AUUGAACGCUGGCGGCAUGCCUUACACAUGCAAGUCGAACGGCAGCACGGGAGCAAUCCUGGUGGCGAGUGGCGAACGGGUGAGUAAUAUAUCGGAACGUGCCCAGUCGUGGGGGAUAACGUAGCGAAAGCUACGCUAAUACCGCAUACGAUCUAUGGAUGAAAGCGGGGGAUCGCAAGACCUCGCGCGAUUGGAGCGGCCGAUAUCAGAUUAGGUAGUUGGUGAGGUAAAGGCUCACCAAGCCGACGAUCUGUAGCUGGUCUGAGAGGACGACCAGCCACACUGGGACUGAGACACGGCCCAGACUCCUACGGGAGGCAGCAGUGGGGAAUUUUGGACAAUGGGCGCGAAGCCUGAUCCAGCAAUGCCGCGUGCAGGAU
This 380-nucleotide ribosomal RNA is filed under the name uncultured bacterium. RNAcentral's name for it is "bacterial SSU rRNA". It matches the Rfam family "Bacterial small subunit ribosomal RNA", at positions 30 to 409 of the family's 1533-position model. The record is from RNAcentral.